This 200-nucleotide ribosomal RNA is filed under the name uncultured bacterium. Its description in RNAcentral is "partial 16S ribosomal RNA". It matches the Rfam family "Bacterial small subunit ribosomal RNA", at positions 342 to 534 of the family's 1533-position model. The record is from RNAcentral.
AGGGAGGCAGCAGUAGGGAAUCAUCCGCAAUGGGCGAAAGCCUGACGGUGCAACGCCGCGUGAACGAUGAAGGUCUUCGGAUUGUAAAGUUCUGUUGUUAGGGGAGAACAAGUACCGUUCGAAUAGGGCGGUACCUUGACGGUACCUGACCAGAAAGCCCCGGCUAAGUACGUGCCAGCAGCCGCGUAAUAAGCNUGGAU